UUUGUUAGGGCUGCAUCCAGCCCCAGUGAAGAGAUUAGCCUUCCAUGAAGAGUUGAGCAGCUGCACUGCAGGGGAACUUCAUGAUGAUUGGCUCCUUCCUCCUUCCUCCCGUCGGCUCCCUCUCAGCACAUCAUCAUCUUUUCCUUUGGGAAAUCAUUCCCAAAAUAUCCAAAUUGUUCUCCCUCUCAUUUGUUUCCCGUGGGACUUCUCAAGUAAAAGAACUAAAGAUGGGAUUGGGUGAGAAAGAAUGAGACGGAAGAGAAGAAUGAAUUCUCUGUUUCCUGCCUUGGCCUUUUAUAGGCUGCCAUCUCCCCCUCUCUCCUCCUUUGUGGCUGAUCCGAAUGGGUGGGAGGAUAAGGGUUGAGCUUAGCUGGAACUCUUCCAUGGAUAAGGGAGACUGAUCCGUGAUCCCUCGUUCAGUUGGAUGCUCUCGGAGAUGAAGAUGAGGUGCCUCUGUUCCGCUGAAGCAGGGGAGUUUGGAUUCGGCUGGGAGCUGUGAAGAAAUUUGGGAGGUGAAGAUGAAUCGCAGAUGGUGGAGUUCAUCCAGAAGUUAGAAUAUUGCCCACGGCUAGGAAAAAAUCUGGGAAGAAGGUGACAUGGUUUAGAAGAUUGUUUGCUUGGCAUGUAUCGCGGGAGGAAGCUGGAUGAGGUUGAUCCGGAACAGGGGAUACGGAAUAAGGAUGAAGUCAGAACAGGGGAGCUGGGACGUGUUGGAUUUCAUGGGCGAUGAAGUCUAUCCGGACGGGAGGAAUGCCGUGAAACUUGGGAUGCACACAAAAAUGCUACUUAAUCCAAUCCGCGGCUGAUGUUCACGGCUUGUUCUUAUCUGAAAGAGAAGGGACUCUCG
Molecule: long non-coding RNA, 847 nt
Filed under: Phoenix dactylifera (date palm)
Lineage: Eukaryota; Viridiplantae; Streptophyta; Magnoliopsida; Arecales; Arecaceae
Description: long non-coding RNA (PDAC_LNC011767)
Source: RNAcentral